This is a long non-coding RNA of Struthio camelus australis, 1806 nucleotides long. The record is from Ensembl. NCBI's taxonomy places the organism in Eukaryota, Metazoa, Chordata, Aves, Struthioniformes, Struthionidae.
AUAGAAAUAAAAAUCUCAAGGCAAAUAUGCAUUUUCUGCUUCAAAGUACUUCAUAAACUCUGGUCAGGGCUUCCUAGCUGAAGAUUGGCCAAAAAUAUGAUAGCAAAACUAUAUUAAGGGAAACAUCAGUCUAACAUUCCAGCAUAAUUUACAUUAAGAUUAGAACACACACACAUUUGGUUAUUUAUAUGUAUGGAAGCAUUUAUGUAAAUGUAUAUUUGUAUAUAAAUAUACAAGUCUCUCCAAAGGGAGACUGCAAACCUGCUGUGCUAGAUGCUCUGCAUGUAACUAAUAAGGGAUAGGCAAUCCCCUAAACUACUUGCUGAUGGCUGAGAUUUAUCACAGCUCAGGAGUGUAUAGUGCCUUAUGUCAAGAAGACAAGUAUUUUGUCACAAAUUGCCUGAUACUUUAAUAUAUUAGUAUCAAAACAAUUUUAUAAACACAUUCUGCUCCAAGUAUCCCUGCUUAUAUGCAGCACGGGAAGCCUAAAUGCUUCUUAGUGACCCCAUAGUAAAAGCUGACAUGUCUGCCCACUGGUAUUUCAUACUGCCUUACUGGUUGCAUUGCCACGUGGCUGAGUAUCUGUGUGUAUCCUGAGUAUAUCUCAUCCUGGCAACUGGCUGUUUCUGUUCACCUCUGCAAGUCUAUCUCACAUGUACACUGGUCUGCUUAUCACUUUCCAGACAGGCCUUUGCUCUGAAACAUGACCCACGUUGAAAUACAGGCCCAAUUGGAAAGAAUGGAGACAAAGAGAGGAAAGAAAUCACUUCGGGAGAUGCAAAAUUCCUGCACAGUAUUUAAGAUUGAACAAUACAUUUUUUUAAUUGCUAUUUUAAUUUCUCUUUGUGCAUUUUUAUUGUUUAAAAUAAUAACUUGAACUUGUUGUUAUGUCAGUGCACACCAAGGUUUACAAGGUGGAGCAAAGAAUAGGCAGUUGUUGGCCAUUGUAUAACUGGGGAACCUCAACAUUAGAAAGCCGUGAAUGAAUUCCUGCACAUUUCCAACCCUAUGACACAAGCAAGAAGGGACUUUCUCAGUAAGAGCACAUGCCUAUUCCUACAACCCAAGAGCUGAUUUAUGAAUAUCAAAUUGCUCAGCUAUUGGCUGACAGUGAUGAAGGAUGAUGAGCUUCUAAACAGUGGAUGUUGAUGCACUUCUCCAUGCUAAGAGGAGCAGUGUUAAAAAUGAGGUGAGUUUUGCACGGAGGCUGAGGAUACCCUGAUGUCCUGUUGCAAUCAGAGCCUUACAGCACAGUCCUUUCUACUACUCCAGGCUAUUGUGCAAAGCAGCGUUCCACAGUGUGAAGGUCUACCCAAAGAAAGGUACAGGAAAGGCUUCUGCUUAAUUUUGUUCUCCUCUCCCAUCUCAGGGUGCUUAUUGUCUUGAUGGUGAAGUCAGUGCACAAUUUCAAAUGGCUUAUUACCAAUCUAUUUUAUUCUUUGAUGCAGAGAUCACUGUUUAUCCAUGCUGAGUGACAGUAUUUGACUUCAGAAAGAAAUGAGACUGUGGAAUGGUAAAGGAGACUGAUGGAAAUUUUAUUUUAACCCUCUCACCAAUCUUCAGCACUCUGUCACAUUCCAGGAGGAAUGUCAUACCACAAUGUGCUGUGGGUGACUGGGUUGCAGGCCACCUUUUCCCAACAAAUGAUGAUAUUCUGUUGGGCUACCAGAGUAUGAGGCAGUAAGAAUUCAGUAUACAAUCACUGUGCAAUCCAUGUGAAUUACUUUUUACUGGAAGCUGAAAUUGCAAAUAUUUUCUCAGAUGAAAGGAAGGAAAGAUGGUGAAAAAGAAGUAUUAGUAUCCCUA